UAAAAAUUAAAUUCAGGUUUGAAUUAACAGCUUGAAUUCAUAAUUCGAAUAUUAAAUCAAAGAUCAAAUGAAACUUAAUUUUACAAAUCAAACUUACAUUUAAGUUCAAAUACAUACUUAAAAACUUAAAGCUUGAAUUCAAGUUCACAUUUUUAGCGUAAACUCAAGAUUUUUGUCACGCCCCGCGAUCGCCCGCCUAUUUGGCCAGGUCGCGGUGCCGCAACAGACCGCCGAACGGACAAGGUUUUCCCUGUACCGCGGACAGAGUCUCCUCUGUACAUUCAAGACGUCGCAAUCAAUACAAUGUACAAAGUUCCAACCAGAAACACAUUUCAAUCAAAGAUUGCAUAAUGGAAAAUAUCAAACAACAUAACACAUCCUAUGUUAUUACAUGCAUUCACAUUCAUAUAUUUUUACAUCACAAUUCUCAUAUUACAUUUACACUAGCAUUCACUUAACUUCCAAAUACAAUCCGAUUUAACAUGAUUAUUACAACUUGAUUCUUUUCAUUUUUUACAUCUCUAAGUAACCGACUCGGGGUACCGCUAUCUCUGGUCUCGGUGGUAGGGCGCUAACUAUGAUGCUACGCCCUCGCCUCGCGCCGCCCCGCCGCUCACGUGUGAACCUGUAACACCCCAAAACCACGUGGGGUGAGAACCAACUCCAUGGUUCCCAGUGGGUACGGCCACCCAAGGGAAAAGCUCGACCAAUAGGUCCAAGGGAGGCAACUGCAAGUUAGUUCAAUAAACAGAUAGAUAUAUAUAUCUUUAUUAUGCAACUAAUAAAACCAUGUCUUGCCUCACGAAUGCAAUAAUGCCAUACUAUAUGCGAAUCAUGCAACUAUACAAGUAGAAUAAAGGAUUUUACUUUCUAUCAUGCUAUUCAUAACUUUUCCAUAAUUUUAUACAUCCUGUCACUUUACAAUCAUUGGUUACUUGCUCCUAAGGUUUUUUUCUACCCUAGCCAAGCUAACCACCCGACUCGAUCUCGAGUCAAUCAACUGCGGAAUACCGCACCAAUACCAGGCUCGAGGUAAUGGACGUCUCACAUACACCUCAGCCCCAAAUCCACUCGACAGGGAUACUCAAUCUAUAGCUCAUAACGCUUAAUGUACAUUCACUUGGCUUUUACCCAAUUGCAUCGAGGUUCACCCAGUUCCCCUCGAACUCACAACCCAAAAUCCCGUCAAAGCAAGGGACCUCGAACCACCCCUAGGGACCGUCCUUCGGGGCCACUAUCCCCGUGGUGACCUACUCCGGAGCGCACCGCUUGAGGGGGAGCUACCUCCUUCAAGCCAAGACUUAUCGUGAGUAUAGAUCUAAUCCUCAUCUUGAGGAUUCAUAGCCACUUGUCACAAUGCCAUUGUCAUGAUAGGUUUUCUAUCUAUUUAUUCAUGCCGCUCUCUAGGCCGUUCUUGUCUCAAUGCCACUCUUGGUUAAAUUAUGUUUAACAACUAUAUUCUCUAUGCCAAACAAUGUCUCUAUUAUCAAUGUCACCUUUGUUUACUAUGUCCAACUCCAACUCUCACAUUCACACAAUUAUAGGGUCCUAAUAUACAUGUCCAUUAUGCUUCUACCAUUCUCUAUGUUCAACUACGUUAGAACAUGUCAUUGAAAGCAACCAAGGUUCACAUGUACUUAGCCCUAUCAUGCAUGAAUGAUACGUAAUAUAUAUACUCAAAUGCCACAAGUGUUUGUUAGGUUCAUGACAUUAGGUUUACACUAUACUUGUUUAACCUAUGUUCAAUACACUAGGUUUAAUGCCACUUGAUGUCCAACCUAUAUUCUUUGACACUAGGUUCAUAUCAUUCAUGUUCAACCUAUGUCCAUGACUCUAGGUUUAGUGCCACUCGAUUUAAUGUAUAUAGAUUGUCCAUAUGCACAUUUUCAUUUCUUAACAUUAACUACAUGCUUGCAUUUAUUAUUUCUAUAUCAUGCUUAUCAUACCAUUACUUAGCAUUAUCCACAUGCAUGCUCUACAACAUGUCAUUAUGCAUUCCUUUAAGCAUAUUCUUAUAAUGUUAACAUUCAUACGCCCUUUAUCUUAUGCAUUCAAAGCAUUAAUUAUAUACAUUUAUCUAGCAUUCUAUAAUAUGUUAACAUACUUCUUUUCACAUUCUUACAUUAUGUUAAUAUACAUUCCUUUAGCAUUUUACAUUAUAUGUCAACAUGCAUCAAUAUGAAAUCUCAUUUCUCUUAGACAUAUAGGCGACCUAGUCGCUUCGGUAAGCACAACCCACCUCAUUUCGCAUUCCGAUUGCUUGUCGACAUUUGCAAUCGGCCUCCCGCGGCACCCAGCACCUGGUUUGACCCGAUCUCUCGCGCGACCACCCGAACGGCUUCCAAUCCAUGAUCCGAAAAUUAAAGGUUUUCGGUUAUGUGCCACGAUGCUUCAAAUCCAUUUUCAUGAAUUUACGAUAUCGUCUAGGCCCUCCAGGCAGAAACAAAGUCUAAACGUCAAUUUCUUUAAUAACUUCGCAACGGCUUGACGAAUCGCCGAACCGACUUCGCCAACGCGUUCGUUUACCUAUCAAUUAGAUUUACAGAGGGUCAAAUGAGAUCAAACCCUUAUAUUUACAAAACUAGCAUUUUUGAGCCCUAGAUUAUAACUAGGUAAAAAUUCACCAUUAUAGCCUUAGUUUCAAACAUCAAACCUCUAAUUAGCAUGCUAGAAUACCUCUAAAUCCAUUCUUAGAGCUUAAAAAUCAAACUAGAGAGAAAUGCCAUUAAAGGGUUUGAAACUUACCUUCAAAGCUUGCUCUCUAAUGGCCAAUGAGGAAGAUGAAGAAGAUGACUUUCCUCCAAGCUUCCUUCUCCACCAAAACCUUCAAUUUUGGGAGAGAUCUAGAGAGAGAAAAAGAGUUUUCUCUCUUUCCCUUUCCUUGCGUGUGUGUGUGUGUGUCGUGUGCGUGUGUGGUGUGCGGCCAAAGGAGAAGAAGAAGCAACAGCUUCUUCAUAAUACCCCUCAAAUACUAUUCACUCCAGGCAGCUUGAAAUCUGAUAACUUUCGCCGGAGCUCCCUGAAUGUCCGUUUGAGCUCAAACUUGACAGUCAUCUUCGGUUUUACGUACUGAGCAAGAAUAUAUUUUAAGUUUUCAGUUUCGACCCCAUUUGGUCACCGAAAACUGUGCCGAACUGUAAUCUUUAUCAGAUAACUCUCGGAUUUUAUUUCUCACUCUACGGAUGUCAGAAAAAUAUGAAACUUUAAAUCUAGCCUCAUAAAAAUAUUUCUGACUUAUUCUCCAAUUUUCAUAAUUUUCUGUGACUGUAUAUUUUCUGCUAAUUUAUUUGUCCCGUUUCCAACAGAAAAUUCUAGAUCUUCUGUUUUCAUUCCGAUUUCAGUACAAGUCACUUCUGACUUAUGUUUUACUUUUAUAAAUCCAAUAAAAAUAGUUUCUCACACUAUUUUUAUUUACUUUUAUUUUUAUACCAAAAUCUGGUAUGUUACAUUCUCCACCCCUUAAAAGAAUUUCGUCCGCGAAAUUCAAACUACGCUUCGAUUCAGCUCCGCGAGCAAUUGAGGGUACCAACUCAUUCUCCCACUCCAAAGCGGCUUUACACAAUCAUGGUUCCAGAAGCGGCUCAUACUGAAGGAUGUGGGUUUAACCCUAAACGCAUUUGCAAGGUGUGAUACAACAGUGCAUCACGGGUCUUGCAAGUCAUAGUGGCAGCGUAAGUCGGUACUCGACGACUCUACGCGCUCCAACACCACUCGUCAUUCGGCACACAAAGAACUCUUCUUUGCACUUACCUUCCCUUCAGGGAAUACAUUCUGAUUCGAUCACCGACAUUGCUUAGGAGCAAUAUCACCGCUGCAUCGUUCCGUCGCGAGUGCUCUAAUUUCGCACUGACCCUUAACUUUAACGCGAGAUGGCCCACUUCGGCACAUCUUAAGUUUUAGUUCGUUUACGAGCAUAGUCUCCAACAUCACGUGGCCUUCUACUAGCUCAAGGUCUCACCAAGAGCACUUCAUCUUCUGAUACCAUAUGCUACGGUCAACAUCGAACUAUUUCCGCAACGAGCUAGCACGAGCGCUUCGUUCGUGAAUUCGAGUCAAACCCCUCGAUAAGGCUAUCCGCCAAAUUGCUCUCUUCGGUCUCCACAGGUGGACCAAAGGCCACCAAUCCUAUGUAGGCCUACCGCCUAAACCUGUCUCAACACGCAGCGUCUCUCGUUAGCAAAUGCAGACCCAAUCAUCAUCGGGCGAAAUUCUCACUUGGGAAUUCGCACACACUCCAACCAGGAGCAACUAAGAUCCCAAACCACGGCAAGCCCUCGGGUUGGGUCACAACCAUACUCGGUGUACCAUCGGUCACACAAUCUAUCACGUGGCAUUCCACGCUCCCGGGUCUAAGCUCGGACUACCGUCCUGACCAGAACUCUGCACUACCCGUAGGUACCGGGUCACUGUCACUCACAGCUGACUGCGUCUGCGCAAUGGGCCCAGGCUCCACAGUCCACAAAUGGUCUAGGCACGGGUCGUCCCCAAGCACUACCCGCCGUCGUCGUCCUACACAACAUGCUCUACCGAGUCACACGUAUCACUACCGGCUACUAUACACCUAAUGCGAGUCACCAAUCCCACGAGUGAUCCUGUAACAUACCGAACUUCUAAAAUCAUGAAGUCACGGUGUACAUUUAAAUAGUUCCGGUGAGGUUGCGGUGGAAUGUAACAUACGGGAUUUUAAAUACAAAAGUAAAAAUAAAUAAAAAUAGUAUGAGAUACUAUUUUAUUGGAUUUAGAGAAGUGAAAUAUAGGUUGGGAAUGACCUAUGCUGAAAUCAGAGAGAAAACAGAAAAUUUAGAAUUUUCUGUGAGAAACGGGGCAGAUAAAUUAGCAGAGAAUGCACAGUGUCAGAAAAUUAUGAAAAUUGGCGGAGAUGUCAGAAAUAUUUUUAUGAGGCUAGAUUUAAAGUUUCAUAUCAUUUUGACACCCGUAGAGAGAGAAAUAAAAUCCGAAAGCUAUCUGAUAAAGAUUGUAGUUCGGUUCAGUUUUUAGUGACUAAACGGGGUCGAAACUGAAAACUUAAGAUAUAUUCUUGCUCAGUACGUUAAACUGAGCCUGCCUGUCAAAUUUGAGCGAAAAUGGACAUCCGGAAGGGCUCCAACGAAAUUUAUCAGAUUUCAAGUUGCCCGUAGUGAAUAGUGUAUAGUUGAGGGGCAAAAUGGUAAAAAGGGUUUUAAACCCCUUUUCUUCUUCUUCCUCCCAGCCGUGCUCACCCACGACACACACACCCACACACGUAUGGAAGGGAGAGAGAGAAACUCUCCUUUCUCUCUCUAAAUCUCUCCCAAAAUGGAUGGAUUUGGUGGAGAUUGAAGCUUGGAGGUGAAUCGCCUUCAUCUUCUUCAUCUUCUCCACCUUGAGGGCAAGCUUGAGAGGUAAGCUUUUGCUACCCUUUAAUGGUAGAUCCUUAAUGGUUGGUUUAAAUACCUUAGAAAUGGAUUUAGAGGAAUCCUAGCAUGCUAUCUAGAUGAAUGAUGCUUGAUUCAUGAAGGAAUUUGGUGGAUUUUUAUCUAGUUGUAAAUCUAGGGUUCAAAAUACUAUUUUGGUAAAUAUGAGGGUUUGAUCUCAUUUGACCCUUCGUAAACCUAAUUGAUAGGUAAACGAACGCGUUGGCGAAGACGGUUCGGCGAUUCGUCAAGCCGGUACGAAGUUAUUAAAGGAAUGGACGUUUAGGCUUUGUUUUCGCCUGGAGGGCCGAGGCGACAUCGUAAAAUCCUGGAAACGGAUUUGAAGCACCGUAAUAGCAAAACGAAGACCCUUUUUGCCCGAGGCUGCGAAGCGAUGCGCGGUUGGUGCGUAAUUGCAAGUUCCGACGGAACCGGGCACCGGAUGCUGGGGGAGGCCGAUUGUAAGUGUCGACAAGCAAUCGGAAUGCACUAACAGGUGGGUUGUGCUUACCGAAGCGACUAGGUCGCCUUUAUGUCUAAGCGAAUUAAGAAUCCUUGUUGAUGCAUAUAAAUGUAAAUGAUGCAUGUAGCUAAUGCUAAGUGAUGUAAUGUAGAAAUGCUAACUAGAAUGUAUAAUGAGCGAGUUAAAUAAUGCAUGUAAAUGUAAAUGUAAAUGCUAACUAGAAAUGCAUAAUGAGCAAGUUACAUAAUGCUAGAUAAUGUAUGUAAUAGUAUGAUGCAAAUGCUAAGUAGAUGCAUAUAAAUGAUAUGUGAGAUUAUAAACGCAUGAUUAGCAUUGUGAGAUUAUAAAUACAUGCUUAGCAUUGCGAGAUUAUAUAUGCAUAUGAACUUGGUUGAUAACUCUAGCUUGAUUAGAGAGAUAAUGUUGGAAAAUAGAAUUUGUAUAACUAUAAUACUCGCUAUGGACAAUUAGCAUGUGAACUAGACCGAGUGGUAUCUAACCUAGUGCUAAUAAACAUAGGUCGGACAUAGUGAUGUUGAACCUAGUGUUAGUGAACAUAGGUUGAACUAGUAAACCUAGAGUUUAUAACCUAGGUUGUGAUAUAGUAAACCUAGAGUGGCUUGAACCUAGGUUGUUGUGUAUAAUGGUAGCAACCACUAGAUUGUAUUAGGUCGACAGCAUAGGGUUGGUUAUGGACCCUCGACCUGUGUAAGUGGAUUCCGGAAUCCCAGGAUCUUUGAUGACCUUGGUAUCAAGGCUAGGGCGUGUGCGACGACUUCGCCGCCGAGGUCGAUACCAAGGAUGGAUUGGGGGUGAAUGCGCAGAGAUUACCGCCCGGGGCUUGAACCAUUGUCGUGGCGUGUGCAACGAUUUCGCCGCUCGAUGGUUAAGCCAGUUUGUGGAUUAUGCCGCCAGAUCGACUCGAGCCAUUGUUGGGUGAGGUGCGAUUCGUUCGCCGCCAGAUGGCCAAGUCAAGGGACUUGAACCAGUGUUCGGCGUGUGCGACGACUUCGGCGCCAGCUGGUUAAGUCACAUAGUGCAGCCAGUGCGCGGACUAUCAGCGGAUGAUUGACUCGAGGCCGAGUCGGGUGGUUAGCUUGAUUAGGUUAAUAGAAACCUUAUAAGCUAGUGAUAAAGGUAAGAGCUAAGGUAAUAGAGACCUUAGAGGCAAUGUGAACUUGAGUUGUGAACUAAGGUAGUAGAACCUUAGAUGCUAAAUGACAUGAGCUAAAGUUAGUAGAGUUGAGUGUAGAAUCAAUAGAUCUACUGAAUGGUUGCAUAAUUGCAUAGAACUGCCUGAUAUACAUAUUGCAUAUUGCGAGGCAUGUUAUCUGUUAGUUGCAUAAUAAACUGAUGAUUUAUAUAUCUAUAGAUGUUUUUGGACUAACAUGAUUGCAGUACCUCCUUGGACCUUUUGGUCGAGCUUUUUCCUUGGGUGGCCGUACCCACUGGGAACCAUGGAGUUGGUUCUCACCCCACGUUGUUUUGGGGUGUUACAGGUUCGUACGUGAGCGGCGCGGCGGCGCGAGGAAAGGGCAUAGCUCCGUAGAUAGCGCCCUACCCCAGAGACCAGAGCUAGCAGUACCCCGUCGACAUAGCUUAGGGGUUAAGGAAAUAAAAAGAACACAAUGGAACAUAAUGUAUCAAAUUUGUAAUAAGUAAAGGUUGUAAUAACUUAGUUUGCAUUUGGAUAAAAAGAAUAGUAAAUGUGAUGUAAAAUGUAUGCAAUGUGAAUGUUGUAAUAAUAUAGGAUGUGUUUAUGUUGUUUGAUACCUUCCAUUAUGCAAUCUUGAUUGAUAUCAGUUCUUGAUUGGAACCUUCGUAUUGUAUUGAUUGCGUUGCCUUGAACGUACAGGGGAGACUCUGUCUGCAGUACAGGGGAAACCCUGUCUCAGUUCUCCACCCCUUAAAGAAUUUCGUCCGCGAACAUUCAAACCUACGCUUCGAUUCAGCUCCGCGAGGCAAUUGAGGGGUACCAAACUCAUUCGCCCACUCCAAAAGCGGCUUUACACAAUCAUGUUCCAGAAGGGCUCAUACGAAGGAUUGUGGGUUUUAACCGCCUAACGCAUUUGAAGGUGUGAUACUACAGUGCACAACGGGUCUGCAAGCAUACUGGCAGGCGUAAGUCGGUACUCCGACGACUCUCACGCGCUCCAGACACCACUCGUCAUUUCGGCACACAAAAAACUCUUCUUCUGCAUACUUUCCCUUCAGGGUAAUCAUCUGAUUCGAUCACCGGACAUUGGCUUAGGAGCAAUAUCACCGCUGCAUGCGUUCCGUCGCCGAGUGCUCUAAUUUCGCACUGACGCUUAAACUGUUAUAACGCGAGAUGCCACUUCGGCACAUCUUUAAGUUUAAUGUCGUUUUCGAGCAAUAGUCUCACACUCACGUGGGCCUUCUACUAGCUCAAGGUCUCACCCAAGAGCACUUAUCUUUGAUACGCAUAUGCUACGUCAACAUGCGAAUAUUUCCGCAACGAGCCUAAGGCGAGCGCUUUCUCCGUCUGAAUUCGAGUCAACCCCUCGAUAAGGCUAUCCGCCAAAUUGCUCUCUUGUCGGUCUCCAACAGAGUGGACAAAGGCACCAAUCCUAUGUUACCGCCUACGCGCCGAAACCUGUCUCAACAGCACAGUCUUCGCUGGUCUACAAAUGCGCAGACCCAAUCAUCAAUCGGGCGAAAUUCUCAACUUGGGAAUUCGCACACUCACCCAACAGGGAACUAAGAUCACCAAACCACGGGCAAGCCCUCGGUGCUUGGCGUCACAACCAAUCACCGGUUGUACCAUCGGCUCAGCACAAUCUAUCACGUGGCAUUCCACGCUCCCGGUCUAAGCUCGACUACCGUCCGACCAGAACUCUGCACUAACCGUAGUACCGGCGUCACUGCACUCAGAGCGCUGACGCGUCUGGGCGCAAUGGGGCCCAGGCUCCACAGUCACAAAUGGUCUAGGCACCGGUCGUCCCCAAGCGCACUACCCGCCGUCGUCGUCCUACACAACAUGCUCGUCACCGAGUCCACGUAUCAUCUACCGGCCUACUAUAGCCUAAUGCGAGUCCACCAAUCCCACGAGUGAUCCAUGUUAACAUACCGAACUUCCUAAAAUCAUGAAGUCAAGCGGUGUAGGCAUUUAAAUAGUUCCGGUGAGGUUGCGGUGAAAACAGUUUUUGUUAAAAAACAUUUUUACGAGGUUUAAAUACAAAGUGAAAAAUAACAUAAAAAUAGUAUGAGUACGUAUUUUAUUGGAUUAUAGAGAGUGAAAUAUAGGUUGGGAAUGACCGUAUGCUGAAAGCAGAGAAGAAAACAGAAAAUUAGAAAUCUUUCUGUGAGAAACGGCGGCAGAUAGAAUUAGCGAGAAUGGCACAAGUUCAGAAAAUUUGAAAAUUGGCGAGAUGUCAGAAAUAUUGUUUAUGAGGCCCUAGAUUAAGUUUCAUAUCAUUUUGACACCCGUAGAGAGAGAAAUAAAAUCGCCGAAUAGCCUAUCUGAUAAAGAUUGUACGUCUCGUUCAGUUUUUAAGUGACUAAACGGAGGUCGAAACUGAAAACUUAAGAUAUUAUUCUUGGCUCCAGUAACGUUAAACUGAGCGGCUGUCACAAUUCUGAGGAAAAUGGGACCAGUUCCGAAGGGCCUGCCAACGAAAAUUUAUCAGAUUUCAAGUUGCCCGUAGUGAAUAGUGUAUAGGUUGAGGGGCAAAAUGGUUAAAAAGGGAUUUUAAACCCCUGUUUCUUCUCUCUUCCUCCCAGCGUGCUCACCACGACACACACCCACACAACCGUAUGGAAUGGAGAGAGAGCAGAUGCUCUACAACAUAUCAUUAUGCAUUCCUUUAAGCAUAUUCUUAUAAUGUUAACAUUCAUACGCCCUUUAUCUUAUGCAUUCAAAGCAUUAAUCACAUGCAUUUAUCUAGCAUUCUAUAAUAUGUUAACAUACUUCUUUUCACAUUCUUACAUUAUGUCAAUAUGCAUUCCUUUAGCAUUUUACAUUAUAUGUCAACAUGCAUCAAUAUGAAAUCUCAUUUCUCUUAGACAUACAGGCGACCUAGUCGCUUCGGUAAGCACAACCCACCUCAUUUCGCAUUCCGACUGCUUGUCGACACUUGCAAUCGGCCUCCCGCAGUACCUGGCACCCGGUUUGACCCGAUCUAUCGCGCGACCACCCGAACGGCCUCCAAUCCACGAUCCGAAAAUUAAAGGUCUUCGGUUAUGUGUCACGAUACUUCAAAUCCAUUUUCAUGAAUUUACGAUAUUGCCUCGACCCUCCAGGCGGAAACGAAGCCUAAACGUCCAUUUCUUUAAUAACUUCGCAACGGCUCGACGAAUCGCCGAACCGACUUCGCCAACGCGUUCGUUUACCUAGCAAUUAGGUUUCCAGAGGGUCAAAUGAGAUCAAACCCUCAUAUUUACAAAACUAGCAUUUUUUAGCCCUAGAUUACAACUAGAUAAAAAUCCACCAUUAGAGCCUUGGUUUCAAGCAUCAAACCUCUAAUUAGCAUGCUAGAAUAUCUCUAAACCCAUUCUUAGAGUUUAAAAAUCAAACUAGAGAGAAAUGCCAUUGAAGGGUUUGAAGCUUACCUUCAAAGCUUGCUCUCUAAUGGCCAAUGAUGAAGAUGAAGAAGACUUUCCUCUAAGCUUCCUUCUCCACCAAAGCCUUCAAUUUUGGGAGAGAUCUAGAGAGAGAAAAGGAGUUUUCUCUCUUUCCCUUUCCUUGUGUGUGUGUGUCGUGUGCGUGUGUGGUGUGCAGCCGAAGGAGAAGAAGAAGCAACAGCUUCUUCAUAAUACCCCUCAAACACUAUUCACUCCAGGCAGCUUGAAAUCUGAUAACUUUCGUCGGAACUCUCUGAAUGUCCGUUUGAGCUCAAACUUGACAGUCAUAUUCGGUUUUAUGUAUUGAGCAAGAAUAUAUUUUAAGUUUUCAGUUUCGACCCCAUUUGGUCACAAAAAAUUGUGCCGAACUGUAAUCUUUAUCAGAUAACUCUCGGAUUUUAUUUCUCACUCUACGGGUGUCAGAAAAAUAUGAAACUUUAAAUCUAGCCUCAUAAAAAUAUUUCUGACUUAUUCUCCGAUUUUCAUAAUUUUCUGAGACUGUGUAUUUUCUGCUAAUCUAUCUGUUCCGUUUCCAACAGAAAAUUCUAGAUCUUCUAUUUUCAUUCCGACUUCAGCACAAGUCACUUCUGACUUAUAUUUUACUUCUAUAAAUCCAAUAAAAAUAGUUUCUCACACUAUUUUUAUUUAUUUUUAUUUUUAUACCAAAAUCUG
RNAcentral lists this long non-coding RNA (11109 nucleotides) under Ananas comosus (pineapple). RNAcentral describes it as "long non-coding RNA (ACOM_LNC039827)". Lineage: Eukaryota; Viridiplantae; Streptophyta; Magnoliopsida; Poales; Bromeliaceae. The record is from RNAcentral.